Molecule: long non-coding RNA, 643 nt
Organism: Chenopodium quinoa (quinoa)
Lineage: Eukaryota; Viridiplantae; Streptophyta; Magnoliopsida; Caryophyllales; Amaranthaceae
Exons: 3
Source: RefSeq, a predicted model, not a curated record
AAAAAUGGCAUCUCUAAAGCCAAAAAGCUCAUCAAGGAGGAUUUGCACCCACUCAAGAAGUUCAACAAGCUUAUGAAAAGGAUGAUGAAAAAGAAGAUUCACCCGGAAUUCGAAGGAAAGACUCAAAAAGACAUGCAUAUGGAUCCAAGCUAUGGUCUUAGGGACCCCAUAAAUGAUCAAGAUGCAGCCAAUAACGAGUUAGCUUCAUUGCUUCUCAUUCAAGAUGCUAUGAUUUGAGCUGCAUAGAAGAUGAUGAUACAGCAACGGCUCCAAGAAAGUGUAACGAUUACUUGUCAAUCAAGUCUUGUAUAAUAUGCAAUGUAUGAAUUAGGCAUAUGUAUUUAUUUUAUUUUUUUCCCUUUUUUUUAAAAAACAAAACUUAUGUUAAGGUUAUGCUAUUUGUUGUUUAUGGAUGAUUUUAGAGUUUCAUAAGAGGGUUAAAAUUUGUUUAUGUUUUUGAAUGAUUAAUUAACUGCUUAUGUUUAAUUAUGGUUGAAAUUUGAAAAUAACUAUUGCAAGAAAAUGACUCUCCACGUUAUUGCAAGGGCAAUGAUAGUGUCUUAUGAGUUUUUCAUGACAUUAUUUGAAAGUUUUAUGUCCUACUACCAUAAUCAAGAUACAUUUAUGAAAAUAUUAGAAAAUU